GCUGACGACCGGCGCACGGGUGCGUAACGCGUAUAGAACCUACCUUUUACAGGAGAAUAGCCCAGAGAAAUUUGGAUUAAUGCUCCAUAGUAUUGUUAGAUGGCAUUGUUUAAUAAUUAAAGAUUUAUCGGUAAGAGAUGGCUAUGCGUUCUAUUAGUUAGUUGGUAAGGUAACGGCUUACCAAGGCAUCGAUAGAUAGGGGUCCUGAGAGGGAGAUCCCCCACACUGGUACUGAGACACGGACCAGACUCCUACGGGAGGCAGCAGUGAGGAAUAUUGGACAAUGGGCGGGAGCCUGAUCCAGCCAUGCCGCGUGCAGGAAGACUGCCCUAUGGGUUGUAAACUGCUUUUGUAUAGGAAGAAACGUAGCUACGCGUAGCUAUUUGACGGUACUAUAAGAAUAAGGAUCGGCUAACUCCGUGCCAGCAGCCGCGGUAAUACGGAGGAUCCAAGCGUUAUCCGGAAUCAUUGGGUUUAAAGGGUCCGUAGGUUGGUCUAUAAGUCAGUGAUGAAAGUUUGCGGCUUAACCGUAAGAUUGCCAUUGAUACUGCUAGGCUUGAAUAGUUGUGAAGUGGUUAGAAUAAGUAGUGUAGCGGUGAAAUGCAUAGAUAUUACUUAGAAUACCGAUUGCGAAGGCAGAUCACUAACAAUUUAUUGACGCUGAGGGACGAAAGCGUGGGUAGCGAACAGGAUUAGAUACCCUGGUAGUCCACGCCGUAAACGAUGGAUACUAGCUGUUUGUUUUUCGGAAUGAGUGGCUAAGCGAAAGUGAUAAGUAUCCCACCUGGGGAGUACGUUCGCAAGAAUGAAACUCAAAGGAAUUGACGGGGGCCCGCACAAGCGGUGGAGCAUGUGGUUUAAUUCGAUGAUACGCGAGGAACCUUACCAGG
Molecule: ribosomal RNA, 890 nt
Filed under: uncultured bacterium
Lineage: Bacteria
Description: bacterial SSU rRNA
Rfam family: Bacterial small subunit ribosomal RNA
Source: RNAcentral